CGCGGAUCAGCACGCCGCGGUGAAUACGUUCCCGGGCCUGUACACACCGCCCGUCACACCAUGGAAGUCUGCAAUGCCCGAAGCCGGUGGCCUAACCACUUAUGUGGAAGGAGCCGUCUAAGGCAGGGCAGAUGACUGGGGUGAAGUCGUAACAAGGUAUC
Molecule: ribosomal RNA, 161 nt
Filed under: uncultured bacterium
Lineage: Bacteria
Description: partial 16S ribosomal RNA
Rfam family: Bacterial small subunit ribosomal RNA
Source: RNAcentral